GGUCGGUGUACUUGUCAAACGUUCGGUAGCCCCGGGUCGUUGAGGUCUCAGGAUACCUCGUAAGUAGAACCAACAGUCGGAAAAGCUCUACGUACACGCGGGAGACGGACGCGCGGCGCACGCGCAGCACGCGACGCGGUUUCGCGUGUCGGCGUGCUUGGGAUCGGGGGUUGGGCGUCGGCGGUGUUAGAAGGGAGGAAUGAAGGAGCAGUUGUGUCCGCGGCGUGGGGAGGGAAGAGGGGGAAGGGCGUCGGGGUCCUCGAGGCGGCAUGGUAAGCUGCUCUAGGUGGCGGAGGGCUCCAGGUAUAGGUGGGGUCCAGCGCUCCUUCAGCGCCCUCCUCCUCUUGGGAGCAGCGUUCCUUCUACGUCCUCCUCCUCCAGUCGGCCCGCAGCGGCCGGCCUCUUCCUCCUCUCCGCCCCUACGGUCGGUUCCUCCGCCUAGCGGAGCGGAGACGACGUGACACUCGCGACGGCGACGGAGACGUAGGUGGAACGGGGCGGCAGUACCCUACUCCGAGUGGUACCUUCUCGUCGGCAUCCACGGUAUUGUAGAUUUCUCGACGUCAGCCCACCUCCACUCCUACGCAUCGAGCUAACUGUUCUCGUCCCGUCACCUAACCUAACUCCCGCGGAUGUACCGGUGCGGCGACGACGGCAGAUCUCAGCGGAACCCGGCGGCGGAGCUCACCGGAGGUAGCGGCGGGGCUCAGUUCAGGUGGUGACGGCGGUCCUUAGGGCAGGGGCCGUUCGCUGGACGACUACAACGACGACACGACCGGUCCCUCACUCAGGUGACUGUAUGCCUGUGUUCUCUAUAAGUCAAUACUCCUAAUAUCCUAUAAUUACUAUCAAGUCAGUAACUCCUAAGCUUUUCUCCGUAGUUACGAGGUCAUCUCCACCAUAACUUCAACACCGACAGUUAUCAGGAAUAUAACUACGAUUGAUGUACCGGAUAUACAAGUUCAUACUGAGGUGACUACCGGGGAAAUUUCCUAGGUAAUUCCAGCACCUACUAAGUUAUGACCUCUAAUUACGCUUUUUUUAGUGUUGGUGUUCGUUUUCCAUUUAUACGGUCCCAAUCGACUAAUAAAAGGUAUAAUCACGCCAACUAUAUCUACAACACCAAAGAUUUAUACGUACUGUACAACAGGACUUUAUUCCUGUACACUUCGUUACUUCAGCGGUUUCAUUGUAAUAAUGAAUUAUUAACUAUAUAUCAAAUCUCGGGGUACAAAAAACGUGUAAGUAUGCCUGUAUAUUAUCGAAUGUUCACGUGCGAACAACAUGUAGGGCUCAUGACCUACAAGGAAGAGAAUAAAACUAAGACUACAAGUAUACAACUAAAAGACGCUACCUCCCUUUCCUCUUCAGACUUACACGGUUGUUCAUCGCUGGUCACUCGAUAACAGAUACUAACCGAUACCCUCCUCAACAGAACACGACGUACCCGUAGAACGUCUAGCUAAAGGAACCAAACUACAUAGAGCCUAAGACUAAUCAGAAACUAAAGGGUGUAAACAAACCUACAAAAGAAACGUGGUUCGUGGUACGAAAAACUAGUGACCAGUUGAACGUGUCAUGAUAGAUUCGUAUCAACAACCAAGACUCGAAAACGUCGUGUAUUGUUUAAGAUCGAAAGUUCCUUAAUACUAUAACCGGUAAAGGUGACUUGUACUUCUCCCGCGUACAUGCCUGUACAUCUUUGACCUCAUUUAAUUGUAUUAGGGCAUCUUACAUCAGACCCUUAUCAUGCGGUUGAGUCACUCCGUUCAUGACCGGACAAAACGGUAGGGACACUAUUUACUUUCAAUCAAAUCCAUUAGAACCAAUAUUUUAGUAAAAGAAUUUCAAAAUUGAAUAUUGACCUGUCUUUAACAAUAACGUGGACUUAUAAACUAAUACUUAGUCAUUCUCCUUUACCCCGCAACAAUCCGCCCUGGAACGGUGACAACGGAACCCAAAACCGAAGCUUCGUGGUGGUACAUACCGAUCGGAAGGUACCGAUGUAGCUCCCAGGGUUAGACGUCCACUCGAGAAGAAAAGUAGACGUCCAAUACUGAUAUCAAACACUAAGUACCGAUGAUAUCAGGAAGGUACCGAUUUAGAGGUGGAGUUACUCUAACAUUAACACGGUCUUUGUCUGAUCCGAUUUAGAGGAGGAGUUACUCUAAAUCAAACACGUAAUUGCUGAUAUCCAAAGAAUAACAAAACCUCACCAGACGAAAGUAAAAGAGGUCAAGUCAGUACAUAAAGAAACGUGGGUACAAGCGAAGUCAUAAGGGAAGGCUAAGAGUGUGAAACCAACGCCGAAGAAACAAAUACAACCUUCAUAAUCUGUCUAUUAAACAAGUAAAUUCAACAGAGGAGAAACAGGAGAACACAGUGUAAUUUAGUACCAUAUUAUCUAUUAAGUCAAUUGACUAACAAACGGUAUAAUCACGUCAACUAUAUCUACAGUACCAAAGAUUUAUACGUGCUGUACAACAGGACUCUAUUCCUGUCACUUCGUUACUUCACCGGUUUCAUUGUAAUAAUGAAUUAUUAACUAAGUAUCAAAUCUCGGGGUACAUAAAGCGUGUAAGUAUGUCUAUAUAUUAUAGAAUGUUCACAUACAACAACAUGUAGAACUCAUGAUGUACAAGGAAGAGAAUAAAACUAAGACUACAAGUAUAUGACCAAGAAUGACUUAAGACCGCAACUAAGGUUAAAAAACGCCUUGAGGUCCUGGGGCACGUCACACGUAACCUGUCACAACACCUCCCAGGUUAAAGGAGUACUAAAUUCUUCGAGCCACAUCAUGGUUUGUAUUAAACUCUUGUGACCGAACAAAACAUCAGGUAAGGGUCGUGUACACAAGCCUUCUGACCUGUGAAGAACAUGAAUGAGCUUUAAAAGAAAAGUAUUUUUCAAGGAACCUUCCCUAACGUUUCAAAUUGCUCGUACAGGGAAAAUGUAGAUAAAUGUCACACAAAAGAAAACCAAAGUGGUGUAAAAAUCCAAGUGUAAAAAAUGUCUAACGCAUAUAAUAUCCUCCGUAACUACUACUUUGUACUUACGGGCAACAAGAACAGGCGAGGACUAGAGUCAUCUGGACACACUACACGAGAACUAGGAAAGAGAGAAAAAAUAAUUUACUUAGAGACUGACUCCUCCUGUACAAGAAAUUAAUCUAACGUUAGUACUUUGAAGAAAACCCAAAAGAAUAACAUGUUAUGUUUCGAAGGUUUAACAAACUAGGACCUUUAUUCAAUCGUUUAAAGACACACGUCACUCGACCCUCGGCCCCAGUAGACCAUGACAGGAAAGUGAGUAAAUUGAUAGAAUUAAACAAGUGUUUUGAGGAAGACAUCGAUUCUAAAGAAACAUGUUGUGCAUGAUUAAUAACCAGAAUAAGAAUUUAGAAUAAAGUGCAAUAAGUCGACGUCCGACCCAAUUCUAACAAAAACACGGUCUUUGUCUGAUCCGUUACGAGAUUGGAACCGUCGUUUUUAACAGAUUUAAGGCAUUUAUUCCAGCACCUUAUAGAAACUUAUGCAAGUAAAUUUAUAGAACUCAACUGGACAUACCCAACGAAGACACGUGUGAGAGAAACUAUACUUAAAGAUCCUCUCUUUAAGAAAGUACCAUUACUACAUAAUAACUAUAAAUGAGACAAAGAAUCCGGAUAUCCAAAGAAAAACACCCUACGUUAAUGCCGUGGUGUACUUAUACUAGGAACUCAACGUAUAAUAACGGGAAAACCUGUAUCCGUACACGGUACAUCAUAUUGUAAAUAUUUCUUACAGAACCUUUAACAUUCAUCUACUAAUGCCAAUGGGACAUUGAAAUCCUCAUUCUAUAUAUACCACUAACUUAGAUCUCUACGAACGAUUAGAUAUUGUAAUUCUAGGUCAGUGCACGUUAUACAAAAUAAGUGUCUUUGUACCUUAGUUAGACCGACUUUCAUUAGUAGAAUACCGCACCGUACUUCUCUACACACGUCUAGACUCUUUCUUCUCCUUAUUAGGUCGUCUUCUUAAACCACUUAUUCUUGUUCAACCGUAAAGAGAGAACACUUGUGUCAGUACGGACGGAAAACUAAAAUAACAAACAUGAUUACGUUUGUUCUUAAGAGAUAUCAAGAACUGCGUUGUGGCGAUUAAUGAGUUAGACGUUAUGUACUAAUAAAGACCCUCUUCAAAUCACGUACUUAAUCGUAAGACAUUUCAGGCAGAUUCGAGUAAAGAGAUCCGGUCCUAUCUAAAGAGUUACAGUAAAAACCCUAACAAAAUUGUGACUUGUUGUAACGGUCCAGUUGGCAAAGAGUACAGAAACAGUAUAGACAUCCAUAACACCACAGAGUUAAAACAGUGGUCGGAGAAAGUGGCUGGACAUUUGAUAGACAGAGCUCCAGAGGGAUUGACAUAAAACCCAAAUCUUUUUAUUUAUUGAUAAAAACCUGAAUAAAAACGUAGUCGAUGAAACAUCCAUAAUACACGCAACAAUCCCUAGACUAUAGUACAUCAAGGUCCCUAAAGUCUACCAGACCAGUCAGGUAACAAGAACGGUACACUAUGAAAGAGAGUAAUGACACUAGCAGUCACGAGAACUGUAGCCAAUGAAAAAGAAUAAUGACACUAGCAGUCACGAGAACUGUAGCCAAGAAGAAAUACCAACGGAAGGGUCACGUGAAAAUAAUGAAGAUUGUAUAAUUAAAAUUAUACGAACUAACUGGUAUAAUAUAUAAAGUGAAGUGGCCCACCAACCACCUUCACAACCAAUUUUAUAAAACCGAUUUUGUAACAGAGAUUAAUAGUUCAAAUAUGUCAACUUAGAAGAACUAACUGAUAAAACAUCAGACGAGAAUCAACAUGUUAUAAUUAAGAAUUUUGACCUAUUUAAAUUACUCAACAAAGUGACAAAAGUUUAUCCAUCGAAGUCGGGAGUGACACAGGACUUCGAAUAAGAAUGACGGAAAAGUUUAUUCAAAAAAAGGAACCGUGAUGACGGCGACACAUGUCUACCAAUGACUUUCUUCCUAAGUUCGUCGUAUGGAAGUGAACUGUCUACGAAAUUGGCGUUCUUGACAACAAUAAAAGAAAAGGAAAGGACGUUACUACCAUCAAGAGGAAACUAAGAUCUUUGGUGUUUCCUCACUUCCCAUCUCUAUAGGUAACAGCAACUUAACCACCCUAACAGCGGUUCAAUCACAACGUCUAACAAAGAUAAAAUCUCGUUCUUCGGUUUAGUACAACAAGUAAAAUUUAGAACUUUUUGAACAAAUGACAGUGAAGAUAUAGAUAAUAUUUGAAAGCAAGGACCACA
Molecule: ribosomal RNA, 5304 nt
Filed under: Triticum aestivum (bread wheat)
Lineage: Eukaryota; Viridiplantae; Streptophyta; Magnoliopsida; Poales; Poaceae
Description: partial small subunit ribosomal RNA
Source: RNAcentral